Molecule: ribosomal RNA, 312 nt
Filed under: Triticum aestivum (bread wheat)
Lineage: Eukaryota; Viridiplantae; Streptophyta; Magnoliopsida; Poales; Poaceae
Description: partial small subunit ribosomal RNA
Source: RNAcentral
AUGGCAGAUAAAAUCACAAGUAAAAUUUGCGUGAAAGACACAGAUAUGAGUCGGUGCGCUCAAGAGCAGCAAUCUCAAUGCGAUCCCACAUGUCGGUGCGCUCAAGAGCAGCAAUCUCCUAUGCCAUCACAUGCCGUCGUUCGGGAAGAACACAAUGACUCGGUAAGAAGUCGUCUCGAGAAGAGCAGCGUCAGAACACCCAUAGCGGACAAUAGGCGGAAGCGGGCGACCGCGGAAGCCAUAAGCAGGUUGAGCCGGAGGAGGUGGGUUGCCAAUAGAAGGAGACAUAAUAGUCCAGGAUGGCGCAUAUGA